GUGGGGAAUAUUGGACAAUGGGCGAAAGCCUGAUCCAGCCAUGCCGCGUGUGUGAAGAAGGUCUUCGGAUUGUAAAGCACUUUAAGUUGGGAGGAAGGGCAGUAAGUUAAUACCUUGCUGUUUUGACGUUACCAACAGAAUAAGCACCGGCUAACUUCGUGCCAGCAGCCGCGGUAAUACGAAGGGUGCAAGCGUUAAUCGGAAUUACUGGGCGUAAAGCGCGCGUAGGUGGUUCAGCAAGUUGGAGGUGAAAACCCCGGGCUCAACCUGGGAACUGCAUCCAAAACUACUGAGCUAGAGUACGGUAGAGGGUAGUGGAAUUUCCUGUGUAGCGGUGAAAUGCGUAGAUAUAGGAAGGAACACCAGUGGCGAAGGCGACUACCUGGACUGAUACUGACACUGAGGUGCGAAAGCGUGGGGAGCAAACAGGAUUAGAAACCCCAGUAGUCC
RNAcentral lists this ribosomal RNA (450 nucleotides) under uncultured bacterium. Its description in RNAcentral is "partial 16S ribosomal RNA". It matches the Rfam family "Bacterial small subunit ribosomal RNA", at positions 354 to 796 of the family's 1533-position model. The record is from RNAcentral.